RNAcentral lists this long non-coding RNA (919 nucleotides) under Arabidopsis thaliana (thale cress). RNAcentral's name for it is "long non-coding RNA (ATHA_LNC000028)". Lineage: Eukaryota; Viridiplantae; Streptophyta; Magnoliopsida; Brassicales; Brassicaceae. The record is from RNAcentral.
GACAUUUGGAAAGUUACCGGUCUGAGUAGAAGAAAUUGUCCCAAUUGUUUUCUCGCGACGAAGAUGGAGAUGGAAAAAUCCAUGCCGAGCACUUACGUUGCAGGUAUUCGACUGAAGACUAUUCAUAUAUUGAAUUCUAUAUCUCCUUGUCUUCGAUGUAUAUAACACAUAUCUGUUGUCGAUCGAAAUUUCAAAAAUUAGCAGAGAAAUUAAACGAAAUCAGUAGAUGAUUGAUUUCAGCUUUGAUUGUGACUCUUUUGUAUUUUAUGAAACUUUGUUUAUGUAGAUUUUACUUACUUUUUUGUUUACUUAGAUAGUUAAAAGUUCGAUUUUUGUAGUAGAUUUUGCAGGUUUUAUCCAAUUUUUUAGAUUUUACUUUCUUGAGUUUUUUUUCUUAGUUGUUUCAUAACUGUUUGAUUCAGUUAAUCACUAGACUUAAUAAAAAGAUGUGCAACAAAUAGAAGUGGGCUUACAUAUUUAAUAUUUCACAUAAUCCACUUAAUGUAAGUGAUGAAGAUACUAAGCAAAUGUUCUAACUGUGAACUUUAGUUUCUUACACAUCCAAGUGAGAUACAAGAUGAAGAAGACAAAGAGGAAGAAGAAGAAGAAGAGCCACUAAGUAUUGGUGUUCCAUGGAACAAAUCCGAGAGAUAGUUCUCCAAGUUAUCAGGCUUAAAGCUCACCAGCAUCUCUAUGUUUCUCUCCUUACUCAGCGUUGGCAAGUACUUACCGUAAAACUCUCUGUAUUCCGGUACUAUUUUCUUUGCUAUGGAAACUUUUAGCUCGUUCCUAAGUUUUGCAUCUGUUAUCACACAUGAUGAUUGUUUCAUAUAAGCUUCUUCGAAUACCGCGUGAAACCUCUUGAAAUGUGUUUUGGCUUCCUCUGGUGAUAGUCUGCUACUUGUUUUCUCUGGUAAAG